Molecule: non-coding RNA, 274 nt
Organism: Paramisgurnus dabryanus
Lineage: Eukaryota; Metazoa; Chordata; Actinopteri; Cypriniformes; Cobitidae
Source: RefSeq, a predicted model, not a curated record
UCAACUGCUAUUGACAUUUUUUAAUCGGGUCAAAUGUGGAGUGAAGAAAAACGUUUGCAACACAUCCAUUCCAGAGUGCUCUGACAGAUAAAACUGACACGCUUGAUGAGGACACAGUCAAGCUUUAAAAGACCGUGUGAUAAAGCAGUCUUCAAUUACUACGGUGUCUGAAUUGCAAGAAGAAGUCACCCUCCACUUAAACAUGUGACAUCUAAACUGUUUUGUGUUUUAGUUCAGCUUUUUAUAGGUUUAUCUUAAGUUGGUUAAAGGCGGA